Molecule: ribosomal RNA, 253 nt
Filed under: uncultured bacterium
Lineage: Bacteria
Description: partial 16S ribosomal RNA
Rfam family: Bacterial small subunit ribosomal RNA
Source: RNAcentral
UACAGAGGGUGCAAGCGUUAAUCGGAAUUACUGGGCGUAAAGCGUGCGUAGACGGUUACAUAAGUCAGAUGUGAAAGCCCCGGGCUCAACCUGAGAAUUGCAUUUGAGACUGUGUAGCUAGGGUGCGGAAGAGGGAAGCGGAAUUUCCGGUGUAGCGGUGAAAUGCGUAGAUAUCGGAAGGAACACCAGUGGCGAAAGCGGCUUCCUGGUCCAGCACCGACGUUCAGGCACGAAAGCGUGGGGAGCAAACAGG